GACGAACGCUGGCGGCGUGCUUAACACAUGCAAGUCGAACGGAAAGGCCCUGCUUUUGUGGGGUGCUCGAGUGGCGAACGGGUGAGUAACACGUGAGUAACCUGCCCUUGACUUUGGGAUAACUUCAGGAAACUGGGGCUAAUACCGGAUAGGAGCUCCUGCUGCAUGGUGGGGGUUGGAAAGUUUCGGCGGUUGGGGAUGGACUCGCGGCCUAUCAGCUUGUUGGUGGGGUAGUGGCUUACCAAGGCUUUGACGGGUAGCCGGCCUGAGAGGGUGACCGGCCACAUUGGGACUGAGAUACGGCCCAGACUCCUACGGGAGGCGGCGGUGGGGAAGAUUACACAGUGGGCGGAAGCCUGAUGCAGCAACGCCGCGUGCGGGAUGACGGCCUUCGGGUUGUAAACCGCUUUCGCCUGUGACGAAGCGUGAGUGACGGUAAUGGGUAAAGAAGCACCGGCUAACUACGUG
RNAcentral lists this ribosomal RNA (468 nucleotides) under uncultured bacterium. RNAcentral describes it as "partial 16S ribosomal RNA". It matches the Rfam family "Bacterial small subunit ribosomal RNA", at positions 28 to 507 of the family's 1533-position model. The record is from RNAcentral.